Molecule: ribosomal RNA, 1016 nt
Filed under: uncultured bacterium
Lineage: Bacteria
Description: bacterial SSU rRNA
Rfam family: Bacterial small subunit ribosomal RNA
Source: RNAcentral
AGGAAUAUUGGUCAAUGGGCGAGAGCCUGAACCAGCCAAGUAGCGUGAAGGAUGAAGGUCCUACGGAUUGUAAACUUCUUUUAUACGGGAAUAAAGUAUCCUACGUGUAGGAUUUUGUAUGUACCGUAUGAAUAAGCAUCGGCUAACUCCGUGCCAGCAGCCGCGGUAAUACGGAGGAUGCGAGCGUUAUCCGGAUUUAUUGGGUUUAAAGGGAGCGCAGACGGGAGAUUAAGUCAGUUGUGAAAGUUUGCGGCUCAACCGUAAAAUUGCAGUUGAUACUGGUUUCCUUGAGUGCAGUUGAGGCAGGCGGAAUUCGUGGUGUAGCGGUGAAAUGCUUAGAUAUCACGAAGAACCCCGAUUGCGAAGGCAGCUUGCUAAACUGUAACUGACGUUCAUGCUCGAAAGUGUGGGUAUCAAACAGGAUUAGAUACCCUGGUAGUCCACACGGUAAACGAUGGAUACUCGCUGUUGGCGAUAUACUGUCAGCGGCCAAGCGAAAGCAUUAAGUAUCCCACCUGGGGAGUACGCCGGCAACGGUGAAACUCAAAGGAAUUGACGGGGGCCCGCACAAGCGGAGGAACAUGUGGUUUAAUUCGAUGAUACGCGAGGAACCUUACCCGGGCUUAAAUUGCAGACGAAUUACGAGGAAACUUGUAAGCCGCAAGGCGUCUGUGAAGGUACUGCAUGGUUGUCGUCAGCUCGUGCCGUGAGGUGUCGGCUUAAGUGCCAUAACGAGCGCAACCCUCGUGGUCAGUUACUAACAGGUAACGCUGAGGACUCUGGCCAGACUGCCAUCGUAAGAUGUGAGGAAGGUGGGGAUGACGUCAAAUCAGCACGGCCCUUACGUCCGGGGCUACACACGUGUUACAAUGGGAGGUACAGAAGGCAGCUACCCGGCGACGGGAUGCCAAUCCCCAAAACCUCUCUCAGUUCGGACUGGAGUCUGCAACCCGACUCCACGAAGCUGGAUUCGCUAGUAAUCGCGCAUCAGCCACGGCGCGGUGAAUACGUUCCCG